GAAAUGCGAUAAGUAAUGUGAAUUGCAGAAUUCAGUGAAUCAUGGAAUCUUUGAACGCACCUUGCGCUCCUUGGUAUUCCGAGGAGCAUGACUGUUUGAGUGUCAUGGAAUUCUCAACUCUAUUUGCUUUUGUGAAUAGAGCUUGGAUUUGGAGGUUUAUUGCUGGUACUUGUGAUCGGCUCCUCUUGAAUGCAUUAGCUCGAACCUUUGCGGAUCAGUUAUCGGUGUGAUAAUUGUCUACGCCGUUGCAGUGAAGCAUAUCAAUGGGCUCGGCUUCCAAUCGUCCUUUACUGGACAAUGACUUUGACCUUUGACCUCAAAUCAGGUAGGAUUACCCGCUGAACUUAAGC
Molecule: unclassified non-coding RNA, 350 nt
Filed under: plant metagenome
Description: partial contains 5.8S ribosomal RNA, internal transcribed spacer 2, and large subunit ribosomal RNA
Rfam family: 5.8S ribosomal RNA (bases 1-105)
Source: RNAcentral